GGGUUGUGAGGUUAAGCGACUAAGCGUACACGGUGGAUGCCCUGGCAGUCAGAGGCGAUGAAGGGCGUGCUAAUCUGCGAUAAGCGCCGGUAAGGUGAUAUGAACCGUUAUAACCGGCGAUACCCGAAUGGGGAAACCCAGUGUGACUCGUCACACUAUCAUUAACUGAAUCCACAGGUUAAUGACGCGAACAGGGGGAACUGAACCAACUAAGUACCCCGAGGAAAAGAAAUCAACCGAGAUUCUCCCAGGAGCGGAGAGCGAACGGGGAGGA
Molecule: ribosomal RNA, 274 nt
Filed under: Salmonella enterica subsp. enterica serovar Schwarzengrund
Lineage: Bacteria; Pseudomonadati; Pseudomonadota; Gammaproteobacteria; Enterobacterales; Enterobacteriaceae
Description: partial 23S ribosomal RNA
Rfam family: Bacterial large subunit ribosomal RNA
Source: RNAcentral